RNAcentral lists this ribosomal RNA (284 nucleotides) under Phocaeicola plebeius DSM 17135. Its description in RNAcentral is "partial 16S ribosomal RNA". It matches the Rfam family "Bacterial small subunit ribosomal RNA", at positions 493 to 776 of the family's 1533-position model. The record is from RNAcentral. Lineage: Bacteria; Pseudomonadati; Bacteroidota; Bacteroidia; Bacteroidales; Bacteroidaceae.
UCUUUUUAUUGUGUGCCAGCCGCCGCGGUAAUACGGAGGAUGCGAGCGUUAUCCGGAUUUAUUGGGUUUAAAGGGAGCGCAGACGGGUCGUUAAGUCAGCUGUGAAAGUUUGGGGCUCAACCUUAAAAUUGCAGUUGAUACUGGCGUCCUUGAGUGCGGUUGAGGUGUGCGGAAUUCGUGGUGUAGCGGUGAAAUGCUUAGAUAUCACGAAGAACUCCGAUUGCGAAGGCAGCACACUAAGCCGUAACUGACGUUCAUGCUCGAAAGUGUGGGUAUCAAACAGG